This 402-nucleotide ribosomal RNA is filed under the name uncultured Brevundimonas sp. RNAcentral's name for it is "bacterial SSU rRNA". It matches the Rfam family "Bacterial small subunit ribosomal RNA", at positions 355 to 774 of the family's 1533-position model. RNAcentral also lists the same sequence under 1 other name. The record is from RNAcentral. Lineage: Bacteria; Pseudomonadati; Pseudomonadota; Alphaproteobacteria; Caulobacterales; Caulobacteraceae.
UGGGGAAUCUUGCGCAAUGGGCGAAAGCCUGACGCAGCCAUGCCGCGUGGAUGAUGAAGGUCUUAGGAUUGUAAAAUCCUUUCACCGGUGAAGAUAAUGACUGUAGCCGGAGAAGAAGCCCCGGCUAACUUCGUGCCAGCAGCCGCGGUAAUACGAAGGGGGCUAGCGUUGCUCGGAAUUACUGGGCGUAAAGGGAGCGUAGGCGGACAUUUAAGUCAGGGGUGAAAUCCCAGAGCUCAACUCUGGAACUGCCUUUGAUACUGGAUGUCUUGAGUGUGAGAGAGGUGAGUGGAACUCCGAGUGUAGAGGUGAAAUUCGUAGAUAUUCGGAAGAACACCAGUGGCGAAGGCGACUCACUGGCUCAUUACUGACGCUGAGGCUCGAAAGCGUGGGGAGCAAACA